GGGUCAGUGGGUUGGUCGUGCCACCGGUACGUACUGGUCUCACUGAUUCCUCCUUCCUGAAGAACCGUAAUGCCAUUAAGUUGGUGUUGCGGGGAAACAGGACUGUUACUUUGAAAAAAUUAGAGUGUUUAAAGCAAGCUAACGCUUGAAUACAUUAGCAUGGAAUAAUGAAAUAGGACGAUCGAUCCUAUUUUGUUGGUUUCUAGGAUUGACGUA
This 216-nucleotide ribosomal RNA is filed under the name Glomeromycotina sp. RNAcentral describes it as "partial small subunit ribosomal RNA". The stretch from base 87 to 216 matches the Rfam family "Eukaryotic small subunit ribosomal RNA", at positions 733 to 864 of the family's 1831-position model. Lineage: Eukaryota; Fungi; Glomeromycota. The record is from RNAcentral.